This 435-nucleotide ribosomal RNA is filed under the name uncultured bacterium. RNAcentral's name for it is "partial 16S ribosomal RNA". It matches the Rfam family "Bacterial small subunit ribosomal RNA", at positions 28 to 507 of the family's 1533-position model. The record is from RNAcentral.
GAUGAACGCUGGCGGUAUGCCUAACACAUGCAAGUCGAACGGACUCUUCGGAGUUAGUGGCGGACGGGUGAGUAACGCGUGAGAAUCUGGCUUUGGGUUCGGGACAACCACUGGAAACGGUGGCUAAUACCGGAUGCGCCGAGAGGUAAAAGAGAAAUUGCCUGAAGAUGAGCUCGCGUCUGAUUAGCUAGUUGGUGAGGUAAAGGCUCACCAAGGCAGCGAUCAGUAGCUGGUCUGAGAGGAUGACCAGCCACACUGGGACUGAGACACGGCCCAGACUCCUACGGGAGGCAGCAGUGGGGAAUUUUCCGCAAUGGGCGAAAGCCUGACGGAGCAAUACCGCGUGAGGGAAGAAGGCUCUUGGGUUGUAAACCUCUUUUCUUAGGGAAGAACAAAAUGACGGUACCUAAGGAAUCAGCAUCGGCUAACUCCGUG